RNAcentral lists this ribosomal RNA (571 nucleotides) under bacterium XN-80-22. RNAcentral's name for it is "bacterial SSU rRNA". It matches the Rfam family "Bacterial small subunit ribosomal RNA", at positions 63 to 648 of the family's 1533-position model. The record is from RNAcentral.
CGAACGAUGAUGCCCAGCUUGCUGGGCGGAUUAGUGGCGAACGGGUGAGUAACACGUGAGUAACCUGCCCUUGACUUCGGGAUAACUCCGGGAAACCGGGGCUAAUACCGGAUAUGAGCCGUCCUCGCAUGGGGGUGGUUGGAAAGUUUUUCGGUCAGGGAUGGGCUCGCGGCCUAUCAGCUUGUUGGUGGGGUGAUGGCCUACCAAGGCGACGACGGGUAGCCGGCCUGAGAGGGCGACCGGCCACACUGGGACUGAGACACGGCCCAGACUCCUACGGGAGGCAGCAGUGGGGAAUAUUGCACAAUGGGCGAAAGCCUGAUGCAGCGACGCCGCGUGAGGGAUGAAGGCCUUCGGGUUGUAAACCUCUUUCAGCAGGGAAGAAGCGCAAGUGACGGUACCUGCAGAAGAAGCGCCGGCUAACUACGUGCCAGCAGCCGCGGUAAUACGUAGGGCGCAAGCGUUGUCCGGAAUUAUUGGGCGUAAAGAGCUCGUAGGCGGUUUGUCGCGUCUGGUGUGAAAACUCGAGGCUCAACCUCGAGCUUGCAUCGGGUACGGGCAGACUAGAGUG